UGUUGAAACAAAACUCAGACAACCUGGCAGGAUUGGCCAAAAGAUAAAAGAAGGUGCAAACAACGUCUUGACUGAAAAGGGGGUCCCCAGGGGUUUCCUGUCGAGCAGGUGAGCACAAGACACGUGACAGCGUGGAGGAUGGCGCUUUGGGUCAGCGGCGAACACCCGACCGCAGGAGAAAGCCCACUCUGGGGGUGCGUCUGGGCCCACCCCGGGGGCGAUGGGGACAGAGGGACGACUGGGAACCUCCAUCUCCUGGGGACAGACGGAGCACGAGCGGCGGAGGGGCAGAGAGAGAGAGGGAGAC
Long non-coding RNA from Herpailurus yagouaroundi (jaguarundi), 307 nucleotides. RefSeq lists it as uncharacterized. The transcript is spliced from 3 exons. NCBI's taxonomy places the organism in Eukaryota, Metazoa, Chordata, Mammalia, Carnivora, Felidae. The record is from RefSeq and is a predicted model, not a curated record.